AUCGCAUUAAAUUAUUGGUAGAUUUUUUUACUUCUUUUGAAAUUCAUAACAAAUAGCGCUGUUCUUAUGGUGUUUGGAAUUUAAAUUUUAUUGUGUAACUUACUCUGACUACCCUUAGAUCCGCCACUGUUUCUAUUUCAUGUGCUUUUAAGGUUCGUGGCUUCAGAGGUUGGUGGAGUAUUGGGAAGCAGUGCGCACCUUUGUUUGAAAAUUUUAUUGAUAUUAUGGCGUUACCGCGGAUAGCAACUCCCUGGCAAAUUUUUAACAGUGUUCCCCGACAAGUAGAGAUUCAAUUAGCAGUCUGGGAUAUACGUGGUGGAACAGGUUCAUGGACCAAAACAAGGCCAAGGGUAGAAACAAUUUAAGAAAAAUAUCCUGCACUUCAGCUUAUUACAGAUGUAAAAGCUGAAUUUCAAAGAGUAAACCACAAGUUAAUCCAUUAUAUAGCUGGCAAAUUUCAAUCCAUUGAUUGAGAAAAAUGUUUUGGACUAUGCCAAAAAAUGUAACAAGAAAACUACAUUGGUUCUAAUAAACAGAGUGGAGAGAGCAAUUGCUGGGAAAUCAGGUUGUUGAUUUCAUAGAUCAGGAUAAUUGGUUGAGAAGACCUUUCAGAUGUUCAAACUUUGAUGAUUGCAGUGGAGGGGCAAAUGUUAAUUUAUCGAAGAACACACUCAGCCUUAUUUUAUCUACUAAAUAUGGAGUACAUUGCUGGUGUGGCAAAUGAAAACUGCUCUCGUCGGGAAGCCUUAGGACAAAAACUUUUGAAGGACGUUAAGUACCCUAGACUUUUUAUACAUUCUUGUACGUAGAUUUUCC
Molecule: long non-coding RNA, 816 nt
Organism: Dendronephthya gigantea
Lineage: Eukaryota; Metazoa; Cnidaria; Anthozoa; Malacalcyonacea; Nephtheidae
Exons: 4
Source: RefSeq, a predicted model, not a curated record